UUGACCAUGUAACCCCAAAUUUGGUAUUAUAUUUUAAAAAUCAAUAUAAAUAUAUUAUUAAAUGAAUUGGCAAGCUUGGAUUGAGGAUUUUAGGAAGAAAGACAAAUAUCUAUAUGAAUAUGAUCAGAUGAAUUGGCAAGCUUGAGUUAGGUUCAGAACGAACGAAAAAUAGACAAUGGAAUGAUCAUAUGGAAUUUGCAGGCCCGGCUGAAGAGGGGAGUUGUUGAGGAAUUAUGGUAUUAUUCUCAUGCCUAGGACGUGUUGGAUAAUAUGCCCACGAAGGAACGUGCAUCCCACCUGAUGUGUUGCAUCAGCUCUAUGAUUUGCCAAGCAAAAGCAAUCAAUCAACAAGGUCAGUUUGUGAAUGUUUGUCCUACACGAGUCAUAGCUAGUGAACACAUUUUGAGAUUCCUUCACUAAAUAUGUAUUGUUUUGAUUCAAUAUAGUGAGCACAAGCCCAGUGUUUAUUUAAUCAAUUACAAUUAGUUUUUCUAGCUACUAACUUUUUUGCAAUUUUCUAAAUAAAAAUAUACGUGACAGAAUCUGAUUAUUUAUUGUUGAAUGAACGAUGUGGUAGAACAAAGGAAUUGUAGAAUUUCUUGAGUUUUAGACAUAAAACAGAGUCAGGCCAUAGAACGCAUGUAUGAAGAAAUUAUCAUCUUCCGAUGAUUGAAAAUUAUCAUCACAUUUAUAGUAAUGAUGCUGUGCUUUAUUCAAAAUUAUUUCUUCCAAUAGAGAAGCAAUCAAUAAUGGUAUUAAUUCUUGAACCAGUGGAAAGCAAUUAAUUUUCUUCAUUUGUUUUCUUGCUUGGCUGUGAAACAGCCCAUUUGCGGCUGAACACAGAAUCUGUUUUUUGUUUCUUUGUUGUUUUUUGUGAAUAUUUGGCUUAAUUUACAAUUCAUGGCAUGUCUGAAAAUGGGUCGAUGAAUCUGUUAAAAUAUGGACUCAGAUCUAAAUCAGAUUUAUCCAUGAUACAAUCAAGAGGUGUUAAGAGUGCAAUUUAUGCACUAGUUUUGCAUUGUUUACUUCCCUUAAUAUCGAUAUUUUGCACUUAAUAAUAGUGAUUUACUUGUGUUUUACUUUUGUAGGUACAAUUCUAUUGAUUGGUGAUAAAAUUGAGCUACAAGAUGAUGUUUAAGGAUGAUUGUUCUCUUGGAGAAAUUAUGAGCGUCAGAAGAACUUUGUUGAUAAGGCGUGGGCGCGUGCUGUCAACUACGGACCUGUAGUUUUUAGUUUAACGUGUUUUGUAAUUUUGGUUAUUUUUGUAAUUACGAAUUUAAUAUUUCAGAUAUUAGUAUUUUAUUUUAAAUAGAAUUCUAGAGGAGAAGAGAGAGAGAGAGUAUUUAAG
This 1348-nucleotide long non-coding RNA is filed under the name Citrus maxima (pomelo). RNAcentral's name for it is "long non-coding RNA (CMAX_LNC001938)". Lineage: Eukaryota; Viridiplantae; Streptophyta; Magnoliopsida; Sapindales; Rutaceae. The record is from RNAcentral.